GAGGGUACAGCUCAAGCGGUAGAGCACGUGCUUAGCAGGCAUGAGGUCCUGGGUUCCAUUCCCAGUACCUCCU
Molecule: transfer RNA, 73 nt
Organism: Camelus ferus (Wild Bactrian camel)
Lineage: Eukaryota; Metazoa; Chordata; Mammalia; Artiodactyla; Camelidae
Rfam family: tRNA
About the family: Transfer RNA (tRNA) molecules are approximately 80 nucleotides in length. Their secondary structure includes four short double-helical elements and three loops (D, anti-codon, and T loops).
Source: Rfam